UACAGAGGGUGCGAGCGUUAAUCGGAAUUACUGGGCGUAAAGCGUGCGUAGACGGUUAUUUAAGUCGGGUGUGAAAGCCCCGGGCUCAACCUGGGAAUUGCAUUCGAGACUGAAUAGCUAGGGUACGGUAGAGGGAAGUGGAAUUUCCGGUGUAGCGGUGAAAUGCGUAGAUAUCUGGAGGAACACCGGUGGCGAAGGCGGCAUCCUGGACCGGUAUUGACGCUGAGGCGCGAAAGCUAGGGGAGCAAACGGG
RNAcentral lists this ribosomal RNA (253 nucleotides) under uncultured bacterium. RNAcentral describes it as "partial 16S ribosomal RNA". It matches the Rfam family "Bacterial small subunit ribosomal RNA", at positions 524 to 776 of the family's 1533-position model. The record is from RNAcentral.